AUUGAACGCUGGCGGCAUGCCUUACACAUGCAAGUCGAACGGCAGCAUGAUCUAGCUUGCUAGAUUGAUGGCGAGUGGCGAACGGGUGAGUAAUACAUCGGAACGUGCCCUGUAGUGGGGGAUAACUAGUCGAAAGAUUAGCUAAUACCGCAUACGACCUGAGGGUGAAAGUGGGGGACCGCAAGGCCUCAUGCUAUAGGAGCGGCCGAUGUCUGAUUAGCUAGUUGGUGAGGUAAAGGCUCACCAAGGCGACGAUCAGUAGCUGGUCUGAGAGGACGAUCAGCCACACUGGGACUGAGACACGGCCCAGACUCCUACGGGAGGCAGCAGUGGGGAAUUUUGGACAAUGGGCGAAAGCCUGAUCCAGCAAUGCCGCGUGUGUGAAGAAGGCCUUCGGGUUGUAAAGCACUUUUGUCCGGAAAGAAAUGGCUCUGGUUAAUACCUGGGGUCGAUGACGGCACCGGAAGAAUAAGGACCGGCUAACUACGUG
This 490-nucleotide ribosomal RNA is filed under the name uncultured bacterium. Its description in RNAcentral is "partial 16S ribosomal RNA". It matches the Rfam family "Bacterial small subunit ribosomal RNA", at positions 30 to 507 of the family's 1533-position model. The record is from RNAcentral.